RNAcentral lists this ribosomal RNA (468 nucleotides) under uncultured bacterium. Its description in RNAcentral is "partial 16S ribosomal RNA". It matches the Rfam family "Bacterial small subunit ribosomal RNA", at positions 28 to 507 of the family's 1533-position model. The record is from RNAcentral.
GACGAACGCUGGCGGUGUGCUUAACACAUGCAAGUCGAACGGUAAGGCCCUUUCGGGGGUACACGAGUGGCGAACGGGUGAGUAACACGUGAGUAACCUGCCCUCAUCUCUGGGAUAACAGUCGGAAACGGUUGCUAAUACUGGAUAUGAGCUUGCAAGGCAUCUUGUGGGUUGGAAAGAUUUUUUUUGGUUGGGGAUGGACUCGCGGCCUAUCAGCUUGUUGGUGAGGUAGUGGCUCACCAAGGCUUCGACGGGUAGCCGGCCUGAGAGGGCGACCGGCCACAUUGGGACUGAGAUACGGCCCAAACUCCUACGGGAGGCAGCAGUGGGGAAUAUUGCACAAUGGACGGAAGUCUGAUGCAGCAACGCCGCGUGCGGGAUGACGGCCUUCGGGUUGUAAACCGCUUUCAAUUGUGACGAAGCUUUUUUGUGACGGUAGCAGUAGAAGAAGUACCGGCUAACUACGUG